AUUGAACGCUGGCGGCAGGCUUAACACAUGCAAGUCGAACGAGUGGCGGACGGGUGAGUAAUGCUUGGGAAUCUCGCUUAUGGAGGGGGAUAACUACGGGAAACUGUAGCUAAUACCGCGUACCCUAGGAUGAGCCCAAGUGGGAUUAGGUAGUUGGUUGGGUAAAGGCUCACCAAGCCGACGAUCUCUAGCUGGUCGGAGAGGAUGACCAGGAACACGGGGACUGAGACACGGCCCAGAAGCCGAAGGGAGGCAGCAGUGGGGAAUAGGGGGCAAUGGGAGGAACGUGACGCAGCCAUGCCGCGUGAAGGAAGAAGGCCGUCGGGUUGUAAAGUUCUUUCGGUAGCGAGGCGUUAACUAAAGAAGAAGCACCGGCUAACUCCGUGCCAGCAGCCGCGGUAAUAC
This 405-nucleotide ribosomal RNA is filed under the name uncultured bacterium. RNAcentral's name for it is "partial 16S ribosomal RNA". It matches the Rfam family "Bacterial small subunit ribosomal RNA", at positions 29 to 526 of the family's 1533-position model. The record is from RNAcentral.